GACGAACGCUGGCGGCGGGCUUAACACAUGCAAGUCGAACGGAAAAGCCCUGCUUUUGUGGGGUGCUCGAGUGGCGAACGGGUGAGUAACACGUGAGUAACCUGCCCUGGACUUUGGGAUAACUUCAGGAAGCUGGGGCUAAUACCGGAUAGGAGCGCCUGCUGCAUGGUGGGGGUUGGAAAGUUUAGGUGGGUGGGGAUGGACUCGGGGCUUAUCAGCUUGUUGGUGGGGUAGUGGCUUACCACGGCUUUGACGGGUAGCCGGCAUGAGAGGGUGACCGGCCACCUUGCGCCUGAGGUACGGCCCAGACUACUACGGGAGGCAGCAGUGGGGAAUAUUGCACAAUGGGCGGACGCCUGAUGCAGCAACGCUGCGUGCGGGAUGACGGCCUUCGGGUUGUAAACCGCUUUCGCCUGUGACGAAGCGUGAGUGACGGUACUGGGUAAAGAAGCACCGGCUAACUACGUG
Molecule: ribosomal RNA, 468 nt
Filed under: uncultured bacterium
Lineage: Bacteria
Description: partial 16S ribosomal RNA
Rfam family: Bacterial small subunit ribosomal RNA
Source: RNAcentral